This 72-nucleotide transfer RNA is filed under the name Dactylortyx thoracicus. RNAcentral describes it as "tRNA-Asn". It matches the Rfam family "tRNA". Rfam says of the family: Transfer RNA (tRNA) molecules are approximately 80 nucleotides in length. Their secondary structure includes four short double-helical elements and three loops (D, anti-codon, and T loops). Lineage: Eukaryota; Metazoa; Chordata; Aves; Galliformes; Odontophoridae. The record is from RNAcentral.
UAGGCAGAAGCCAAAGGGUGAGGCACCUAGCUGUUAACUAGGAUUUAAUGGGAUCGAGGCCCAUCUGUCUAG